UACGUAGGGUGCAAGCGUUGUCCGGAAUUAUUGGGCGUAAAGAGCUCGUAGGCGGCCUGUCGCGUCGGCUGUGAAAACCCGGGGCUCAACCCCGGGCCUGCAGUCGAUACGGGCAGGCUAGAGUCCGGCAGGGGAGACUGGAAUUCCUGGUGUAGCGGUGAAAUGCGCAGAUAUCAGGAAGAACACCAAUGGCGAGGGCAGCUCUCUGGGACGGUACUGACGCUGAGACGCGAAAGCGUGGGGAGCGAACAGG
RNAcentral lists this ribosomal RNA (253 nucleotides) under uncultured bacterium. RNAcentral's name for it is "partial 16S ribosomal RNA". It matches the Rfam family "Bacterial small subunit ribosomal RNA", at positions 524 to 776 of the family's 1533-position model. The record is from RNAcentral.